This 483-nucleotide ribosomal RNA is filed under the name uncultured bacterium. Its description in RNAcentral is "bacterial SSU rRNA". It matches the Rfam family "Bacterial small subunit ribosomal RNA", at positions 28 to 512 of the family's 1533-position model. The record is from RNAcentral.
GAUGAACGCUGGCGGCGUGCUUAACACAUGCAAGUCGAACGAGAAUCUUUGGAUAGAGACUUCGGUCAAUUGAAGAAGAGGAAAGUGGCGGACGGGUGAGUAACGCGUGAGUAAUCUGCCUUGGAGUGGGGAAUAACACAGAGAAAUUUGUGCUAAUACCGCAUGAUGCAUCUAGGUCGCAUGGCUUUGGAUGCCAAAGAUUUAUCGCUCUAAGAUGAGCUCGCGUCUGAUUAGAUAGUUGGCGGGGUAACGGCCCACCAAGUCGACGAUCAGUAGCCGGACUGAGAGGUUGGCCGGCCACAUUGGGACUGAGACACGGCCCAGACUCCUACGGGAGGCAGCAGUGGGGAAUAUUGGGCAAUGGGCGCAAGCCUGACCCAGCAACGCCGCGUGAAGGAAGAAGGCUUUCGGGUUGUAAACUUCUUUAUGAGGGACGAUAGUGACGGUACCUCAUGAAUAAGCCACGGCUAACUACGUGCCAGC